UACGUAGGCAGCGAGCGUUGUUCGGAGUUACUGGGCGUAAAGGGUGUGUAGGCGGUUGUUUAAGUUUGGUGUGAAAUCCCCCGGCUCAACUGGGAGGGUGCGCCGAAUACUGAAUGACUUGGAGUGCGGGAGAGGUGAGUGGAAUUCCUGGUGUAGCGGUGAAAUGCGUAGAUAUCAGGAGGAACACCGGUGGUGUAGACGGCUCACUGGACCGUAACUGACGCUGAGACACGAAAGCGUGGGUAGCAAACAGG
Molecule: ribosomal RNA, 254 nt
Filed under: uncultured bacterium
Lineage: Bacteria
Description: partial 16S ribosomal RNA
Rfam family: Bacterial small subunit ribosomal RNA
Source: RNAcentral